CUUUAGUAAAAAUUACAUUUGUCACAACUCAAUUGACAGAUGAAUUUAUCAGUAAUAUGUGACAUCUUAAAAUUUUUGUCAAUAAUAAAUUUUCCGUAAUUUAAUUAAAUUAUUAUCCGAUAAAUAGUUUUAAUUAGAUCUCCAAGUAUAUAUAUAUAUAUACAGUGACUCUAACAAAAUAUAUUUUUGGUACUUAAUUUUAUAAAAUAAAAGUUCAGCUAAUAACCUAAACAAUUUAAAACAAAAUACAACAAAAUUGCAUAAAUUAGAGUUUAAAAAAUUCAGAGUCUUACUUAAGCUAACUAGCCCGU
This 311-nucleotide long non-coding RNA is filed under the name Cicer arietinum (chickpea). Its description in RNAcentral is "long non-coding RNA (CARI_LNC003452)". Lineage: Eukaryota; Viridiplantae; Streptophyta; Magnoliopsida; Fabales; Fabaceae. The record is from RNAcentral.